AUUGAACGCUGGCGGCAUGCCUUACACAUGCAAGUCGAACGGCAGCACGGGUGCUUGCACCUGGUGGCGAGUGGCGAACGGGUGAGUAAUACAUCGGAACAUGUCCUGUAGUGGGGGAUAGCCCAGCGAAAGCCGGAUUAAUACCGCAUACGAUCUACGGAUGAAAGCGGGGGACCUUCGGGCCUCGCGCUAUAGGGUUGGCCGAUGGCUGAUUAGCUAGUUGGUGGGGUAAAGGCCUACCAAGGCGACGAUCAGUAGCCGGUCUGAGAGGACGACCAGCCACACGGGGACUGAGAAACGGCCCAGACUCUUACGGGAGGCCGCGGUGGGGAAUUUUGGACAAUGGGGGAAUGCCUGAUCCAGCAAUACCGCGUGUGUGAAGAAGGCCUUCGGGUUGGUAAGCAAUUUUGUCCGGAAAGAAAUCCAUCGCCCUAAUACGGGCGGGGGAUGACGGUACCGGAAGAAUAAGCACCGGCUAACUACGUG
This 486-nucleotide ribosomal RNA is filed under the name uncultured bacterium. RNAcentral's name for it is "partial 16S ribosomal RNA". It matches the Rfam family "Bacterial small subunit ribosomal RNA", at positions 29 to 507 of the family's 1533-position model. The record is from RNAcentral.